Molecule: ribosomal RNA, 497 nt
Filed under: uncultured bacterium
Lineage: Bacteria
Description: partial 16S ribosomal RNA
Rfam family: Bacterial small subunit ribosomal RNA
Source: RNAcentral
GAUGAACGCUGGCGGCGUGCCUAAUACAUGCAAGUCGAGCGAACAGACGAGGAGCUUGCUCCUCUGACGUUAGCGGCGGACGGGUGAGUAACACGUGGAUAACCUACCUAUAAAACUGGGAUAACUUCGGGAAACCGGAGCUAAUACCGGAUAAUAUAUUGAACCGCAUGGUUUAAUAGUGAAAGACGGUUUUGCUGUCACUUAUAGAUGGAUCCGCGCCGCAUUAGCUAGUUGGUAAGGUAACGGCUUACCAAGGCAACGAUGCGUAGCCGACCUGAGAGGGUGAUCGGCCACACUGGAACUGAGACACGGUCCAGACUCCUACGGGAGGCAGCAGUAGGGAAUCUUCCGCGAUGGGGGAAAGCCUGACGGAGCAACACCGCGUGAGUGAUGAAGGUCUUCGGAUCGUAAAACUCUGUUAUUAGGGAAGAACAAAUGUGUAAGUAACUAUGCACGUCUUGACGGUACCUAAUCAGAAAGCCACGGCUAACUACGUG